UAAUAAUACAUCUUGGGUCACAAAUGUCUUCAUCCUCUUUCUGUUCAACUUUGGAAGUCGUGGUCGCCUGGCCGGUUAGCUCAGUUGGUUAGAGCGUGGUGCUAAUAACGCCAAGGUCGCGGGUUCGAUCCCCGUACGGGCCAUUCUGUUUUGGAAAAAGCCAGUAGAAAGAUUCCAAGGUUCCAGAAGUGAUAUUUCCAUUCCAGCUCCUUAUCUCGAAGAACCGAGAAGGCGAACCUUCCUGUUGAUCCCUAUUGAAUUGUUUUAAAUGUACUUUUAUUCUGAUCUUAAUAAACACGAAAUAAGAUGGCCAUUUCCAAAUACAGAGUACAACAGAAAAAGAGGGUAGUACCUGAACUUGUAGGUCUCUGUUUGGUAUAGUUUUCCUCUUAUCUACAACAGCCUGUAUCUUUCUAAACCGUCCUGUUUAUCUGGACUUCUUUCGGACUUCCUGUUCUUUUAUGUGCGUUUCACUUUCAGUUUAGCUCCCGUUUGUUCAUCUAGAAAACGGAAAUAAUAAUUCCUGAAUUGCCUUUUUACAACGUAAAAAGAACCACCACCACAACACAAAAGAACAGGACUAAUUUUGACAGUUUUUUUGGAAACCCUACAGGCAAGGAGGGGCUCCAGGAGCAGGGAAUCUUGCGGAGGAGAAGACUCUGGCUGGUAGAGGAGUGGCUUGAAGUCUUGAGAAGCUGAAGAGAGAAGUUGGAAAAAGACUUUCUCCUGAGGGUUACCCAAUUUUCCUACUGGUGACUACUGGAAAUCUUUCCCUCAAUACUUCCCAAUUGAAGGGACUUUCUGAAGAGAAACCUGAGCAGACUUUACCUCAGCUCCUGUUGCCUAGGGGUGAAUUAACCUAACUUUCUCUUAGGGGGCUCAGGCUGCCAAGGCCUGAGUUCCCCCAAAAACUUGAGGGGGGAGGGUUAGAUAGAGACAGGGACCCUUUUUCCCCACAUUCCUUUCCCAUUCUCCCCUGCCUAUUAUUCCCUUUGCAUUACCUGAUUGAGUUGACAUUAAAGUUAUGUGUUUCCCAAGCUGAGUGUGAGUGAACAAAUCAAGG
RNAcentral lists this transfer RNA (1063 nucleotides) under Monodelphis domestica (gray short-tailed opossum). RNAcentral's name for it is "lncRNA (ENSMODG00000041323.1)". The stretch from base 70 to 143 matches the Rfam family "tRNA". The record is from RNAcentral. Lineage: Eukaryota; Metazoa; Chordata; Mammalia; Didelphimorphia; Didelphidae.